UUGAGUUUCCUUAACUGCCCCCGGGCGUGUUCGCCACCCUCGUACACCAAAUUAAGCUUCGUUGCGCGUCUUGGAAUGGUUGGGAACUGUACCCAUAGCGCCUUGGUCUCUACCAAGAAAGUCAAGCCGACCUAUGGUGUGUCCACGACGUACCGACAGCAGUCGAGCACAGCACUCUACAAGCCAAUUCAGGCCGUUGCUCGCGUUGGGUGUGAGAAUCAACGGUAGUAAGUCAACCCGUGAGAUCCUCUUGACGGCCACUAUUCGGCCUCCUUCCACACCUACUGCAGUUCAGGAGUACCGGGAAUGCCCAACCCGAUGUGUGCACGAUGUUACCACCACUGUUACUCAAUUAGAGUUUUUCGGUAGAGUCAAGCCUAACAGCGGACGUUGAGCCGCCGUACUUCAGCCUUAGCGAUCAUUAGCGCAUUGUCGUACUGCGCCACUUAUGCAAGGGCCCGGAACAUGUGUGGCGGGCAGUGUGGUACCCUUAACCUAGAUGGGCUUCCACCACGCGGUUGGACGUUUCCUCCGUCGGUUGGUGCCAUCCAAGUCACUGACCCCACUUCAGCAUUGUUCCAUCGGCAUUUCCCGCUUAAGACGUCUAUAGGUAGUGUGACCGCCGGCGAGCUCGUACGUA
RNAcentral lists this ribosomal RNA (640 nucleotides) under uncultured bacterium. RNAcentral describes it as "partial 16S ribosomal RNA". The record is from RNAcentral.